UUUUCAUUCUGAGGUCAGGAUUAAUUUUCAUGUGGCCCUUAACAAUUUUUGAAAAUUGCAAAUGGUGGCUGAAGGAACUAAUUGCGCCACCAUUGCCACCAGUAGGGUGAAAAGAAGCGUUUUAUUAUUAUCGAAACGUCUCCGGCCCUGGAAUUUUCAUUCUGAGGUCAGGAUUAAUUUUCAUGUGGCCCUUAACAAUUUUUGAAAAUUGCAAAUGGUGGCUAAAGGAACUAAUUGCGCCACCAGCGCCCCCAGUAGGGUGAAAAGAAGCGUUUUAUUAUUAUCGAAACGACUCCGGCCCUGGAAUUUUCAUUCUGAGGUCAAGAUUAAUUUUCAUGUACCCCUUAACAAUUUUUGAAAAUUGCAAAUGGCGGCUAAAGGAACUAAUUGUCCCACCAGCGCCCCCAGUAGGUUGAAAAGAAGCGUUUUAUUAUUAUCGAAACGACUUCGGCCCUGGAAUUUUCAUUCUGAGGUCAGGAUUAAUUUUCAUGUACCCCUUAACAAUUUUUGAAAAUUGUAAAUGAUGUAUGAAGAAAGUUAUGACGUCACGAGUGCGUCUGGUGGGGGGCCCACUGACGCUAGGCCUGUGGCUACCGCGCAGGCGCCAUAAUGGCGGCCGCUCUAGUGUGAACGUUUUGAGAUUGUUUAUAUACUCAAAGGUGAACGUGCACUACGUGCAGUCUCGGUCGUAAGCGUGCACGUGACACUGUUCGUAAACAUGUGGGACACAGGGGCUCUCAGGACUUGGAAACUCGUUUAUCUUGGAUUAACUCGCAAGACUUCCUUAUCUCCAGGGGAAUGGUUAGGUGUGGAACGGAUGAGGCUUUUGCCAGGUGAUUUGGGCACUUCCUUCCUCUUUAUCGGCGGCAGCCGGUGCUCGGGAAAGCUGAUGUAAGUAUAGCAAGAGGACGGCCUAGUUGCCAUCGCGGCCAUCCGAAAUAUUAGAAUAAGCCCACGCGCGUAAUACAAUCCCGAUGGUAAGGUAACCAAAUUUAGCAUGUGACUUAGCAGACGCCCUCGAGACACUUGCACGGACGAUGACUCAGACCGAACAGAAGCGAACGGAAUUGAAGGAAGAAGAUGAAGAGCUGGAGGUUGAGGGAGUUCUUGAUGAAACCGUUUCUGUUUGGCUGGUGAUUAGUGCGUUUUCGUUUUAGGUUCGAUUGGAAAUUGAAACGUUUAGGGGCUCGCAGCACCAUUCAAAUGAUAUGUAUCAUUUUUAUAGCGGAGCAUUUUGUCAAUUGGAUUCAUUCGAUAUCAAAGAAUUUUUACAUCGGAUUGAUUUGGUGUUGAAGUAUUUUGACGGUGCAACAGAUUGGCUUUGAAGCAUUCAUAAAUGAAACAUUUGUGAGUUCCGACAUUUUGAAAUGGAAGAAUUUUAACAUUGAAGCUUUUUAACAUUAGGAGAUCUUAACGUUGAAGCAUCUGGGCUUUGAAGCAUUCGAGGGUUGAAGCACCAAAUAAUUACAUCACUUUGACAGGGAAGCAUUUUAUAAUUAAAUCACUUUGUCGUUGCGGUAUCUUGGCUUUGAAGCAUUCGAAGGUUGAAGCAUUUGAGAGCAAACUGAAACAUUUUGAGGUUGAAGCACUGUAUAAUUAAAUCAUUUUAACUACAGCCUCCUGGCUUUUGAAGCAUUUGUGAAUUGAAACAUUUGGAAGUUGAAGCAGAGUAUAAUUGAACAUUUUGACACCGAAGCAUUGUGUCAUUAGAUCGCUUUGAUAUUGAAGCAUUUUGAGUUUGUAGCAUCUUGACUUUGAAGCACUUGUAGAUUGAAAGAUUUGAUGGUGGAUGCACUGUGCGAUUGAAUCAUUUUGACAAAGAAGCAUUUUGUCAUUGAAUCC
Hylaeus volcanicus is the source of this 1842-nucleotide long non-coding RNA. RefSeq lists it as uncharacterized. The record is from RefSeq and is a predicted model, not a curated record. Lineage: Eukaryota; Metazoa; Arthropoda; Insecta; Hymenoptera; Colletidae. The transcript has 3 exons.